CUCUUGAAAGUGAGAUGGACAGGCAUCAAAAUAUCUCAUUGGAGAUGCUUCUGAAGCUGGUCAGAGUAUUUGGGUCAGUAAUAUAUUCUUCUAUAUCAGCACCUUCAUCCGUAGGAGUGGAUAUUGAGGCAGAGCAAAGGUUGGAACGCUGCAAUACAUGCUUUGUUGAGCUUGAAAAGGUUAAGCGUUGCUUGCCUGUACUUUGUAG
Coffea arabica (coffee) is the source of this 208-nucleotide non-coding RNA. The record is from RefSeq and is a predicted model, not a curated record. Lineage: Eukaryota; Viridiplantae; Streptophyta; Magnoliopsida; Gentianales; Rubiaceae.